This 25-nucleotide non-coding RNA is filed under the name Mus musculus (house mouse). The record is from RNAcentral. Lineage: Eukaryota; Metazoa; Chordata; Mammalia; Rodentia; Muridae.
AAGUCGAAUAGUGGCUGGCUGUUGG